This 565-nucleotide small RNA is filed under the name Pan troglodytes (chimpanzee). RNAcentral's name for it is "processed transcript". The record is from RNAcentral. Lineage: Eukaryota; Metazoa; Chordata; Mammalia; Primates; Hominidae.
UGUGGCAUAUGAGCGGCAGGUCUGAAAAAGCAGGUGUGUGCUGGGACGGGCACUGGACUGGAACGCAGGCGGACGCUCUCGGGUUUACCUGCUUCCUGUUAACAGACUGUGGGCUCCCAGGGCGUAUGUCUGCACGCUGAGGCCGAGGCGGAGAAGGGGCUUCCUGAGCGUCCAGUACACUGACAGAGACACUUGGAUUGGACUUAAUCUUAAACCUCUGGAGUUCAAGACCUUUUAAAAGGGCUAAAUAAACAAUCUCUACAUGUAAAAGGCCACUGACUCCUACUUCCUCUGUAUAGAGCAACUGUUGAACUCAGCUGCCUGUAGAUAGCGGUGGGUGUGCUCGCAAACGUGCCGCCAUGUCUGUUACGCUAACAUCUGUGAAGAGAGUGCAAAGUUCUCCAAACCUAUUGGCUGCAGGGCGUGAUUCUCAGUCACCAGACUCAGCUUGGAGAUCUUACAAUGAUGGCAAUCAGGAGACACUGAACGGAGAUGCUACAUAUUCCUCUCUUGCAGCAAAAGGUUUUAGAAACGUUCGACCAAACCUACAAGAUAAAAGAUCACC